CCUACGGGGCGCAGCAGUGGGGAAUAUUGCGCAAUGGGCGAAACCCUGAUGCAGCGACGCCGCGUGUGGGAAGACGGUCCUCUGGAUUGUAAACCACUGUCCCCAGGGACGAAGAUGACGGUACCUGGGGAGGAAGCUCCGGCUAACUACGUGCCAGCAGCCGCGGUAAUACGUAGGGAGCAAGCGUUGUCCGGAAUUACUGGGUGUAAAGGGAGCGUAGACGGCGACGCAAGUCUGGAGUGAAAGCCCGGGGCCCAACCCCGGGACUGCUCUGGAAACUGCGUCGCUGGAGUACGGGAGGGGCA
Molecule: ribosomal RNA, 305 nt
Filed under: uncultured bacterium
Lineage: Bacteria
Description: bacterial SSU rRNA
Rfam family: Bacterial small subunit ribosomal RNA
Source: RNAcentral